RNAcentral lists this transfer RNA (78 nucleotides) under Bradyrhizobium sp. C9. Its description in RNAcentral is "tRNA-Gln". It matches the Rfam family "tRNA". From Rfam's summary of the family: Transfer RNA (tRNA) molecules are approximately 80 nucleotides in length. Their secondary structure includes four short double-helical elements and three loops (D, anti-codon, and T loops). The record is from RNAcentral. Lineage: Bacteria; Pseudomonadati; Pseudomonadota; Alphaproteobacteria; Hyphomicrobiales; Nitrobacteraceae.
UGGGGAUUAGCUUAGCCAGGCCCAAAGCACCGCGCUCUGAACGCGGCAUCGGCGGUUCAAAUCCGUCAUCCCCUGCCA